RNAcentral lists this ribosomal RNA (545 nucleotides) under uncultured bacterium. RNAcentral describes it as "bacterial SSU rRNA". It matches the Rfam family "Bacterial small subunit ribosomal RNA", at positions 777 to 1320 of the family's 1533-position model. The record is from RNAcentral.
AAUAGAUACCCAGGUAGUCCACGCCGUAAACAAUGAGUGCUAAGUGUUGGGGGGUUUCCGCCCCUCAGUGCUGCAGCUAACGCAUUAAGCACUCCGCCUGGGGAGUACGGUCGCAAGACUGAAACUCAAAGGAAUUGACGGGGGCCCGCACAAGCGGUGGAGCAUGUGGUUUAAUUCGAAGCAACGCGAAGAACCUUACCAGGUCUUGACAUCCCGGUGACCACUAUGGAGACAUAGUUUCCCCUUCGGGGGCAACGGUGACAGGUGGUGCAUGGUUGUCGUCAGCUCGUGUCGUGAGAUGUUGGGUUAAGUCCCGCAACGAGCGCAACCCUUAUUCUUAAUUGCCAUCAUUUAGUUGGGCACUCUAAGGAGACUGCCGGUGAUAAACCGGAGGAAGGUGGGGAUGACGUCAAAUCAUCAUGCCCCUUAUGACCUGGGCUACACACGUGCUACAAUGGACGGUACAAACGGUUGCCAACCCGCGAGGGGGAGCUAAUCCGAUAAAACCGUUCUCAGUUCGGAUUGUAGGCUGCAACUCGCCUACA